Molecule: ribosomal RNA, 659 nt
Filed under: soil bacterium Mafe-S1T-M1LLLSSL-3
Lineage: Bacteria
Description: bacterial SSU rRNA
Rfam family: Bacterial small subunit ribosomal RNA
Source: RNAcentral
AGAGCGGCGGACGGGUGAGUAAUGCCUAGGAGUCUAGCCUGGUAGUGGGGGAUAACGUUCGGAAGCGGACGCUAAUACCGCAUACGUCCUACGGGAGAAAGCAGGGGACCUUCGGGCCUUGCGCUAUCAGAUGAACCUAGGUCGGAUUAACUAGUUGGUGAGGUAAUGGCUCACCAAGGCGACGAUCCAUAACUGGUCUGAGAGGAUGAUCAAUCACACUGGAACUGAGACACGGUCCAGACUCCUACGGGAGGCAGCAGUGGGGAAUAUUGGACAAUGGGCGAAAGCCUGAUCCAGCCAUGCCGCGUGUGUGAAGAAGGUCUUCGGAUUGUAAAGCACUUUAAUUUGGGAGGAAGGGUUGUAAAUUAAUACUCUGCAAUUUUGACGUUACCGACAGAAUAAGCACCGGCUAACUCUGUGCCAGCAGCCGCGGUAAUACAGAGGGUGCAAGCGUUAAUCGGAAUUACUGGGCGUAAAGCGCGCGUAGGUGGUUCGUUAAGUUGGAUGUGAAAGCCCCGGGCUCAACCUGGGAACUGCAUUCAAAACUGACGAGCUAGAGUAUGGUAGAGGGUGGUGGAAUUUCCUGUGUAGCGGUGAAAUGCGUAGAUAUAGGAAGGAACACCAGUGGCGAAGGCGACCACCUGGACUGAUACUGACAC